RNAcentral lists this ribosomal RNA (482 nucleotides) under uncultured bacterium. RNAcentral describes it as "partial 16S ribosomal RNA". It matches the Rfam family "Bacterial small subunit ribosomal RNA", at positions 28 to 523 of the family's 1533-position model. The record is from RNAcentral.
AGUGAACGUUGGCGGCGUGGAUUAGGCAUGCAAGUCGAGCGAGAACCGUAGCAAUACGGGGACAGCGGCGAAAGGGACAGUAAUGUGUAGGUACCUACCUCCGGGUUCGGGAUAGCUGCGGGAAACUGCAGGUAAUACCGAAUAACGUCUCAGGACCAAGGGUGUGAUUCCACCUGGAGAGGGUCCUGCAUCCUAUUAGCUUGUUGGCGGGGUAACGGCCCACCAAGGCGACGAUGGGUAGCGGGUGUGAGAGCACGAACCGCGUCAUUGGGACUGAGACACUGCCCAGACACCUACGGGUGGCUGCAGUCGUGAAUCUUCGGCAAUGGGCGCAAGCCUGACCGAGCGACGCCGCGUGCGGGAUGAAGGCCUUCGGGUUGUAAACCGCUGUCGUAGAGGAGGAAAUGCAGGGGGGUUCUCCCCUCUGUUUGACCUAUUCUAGGAGGAAGUACGGGCUAAGUUCGUGCCAGCCGCCGCGGUAA